This 253-nucleotide ribosomal RNA is filed under the name uncultured bacterium. RNAcentral's name for it is "partial 16S ribosomal RNA". It matches the Rfam family "Bacterial small subunit ribosomal RNA", at positions 524 to 776 of the family's 1533-position model. The record is from RNAcentral.
UACGGAGGGUGCGAGCGUUGUCCGGAAUCAUUGGGCGUAAAGGGCGCGUAGGUGGCCUGGUCAGCGUGCGGUGAAAGCCUGGGGCUCAACCCCGGGUCGGCCGUGCGAACUGCUGGGCUUGAGCACUGUAGAGGCAGGCGGAAUUCCGGGUGUAGCGGUGGAAUGCGUAGAGAUCCGGAAGAACACCGGUGGCGAAGGCGGCCUGCUGGGCAGUAGCUGACACUGAGAGACGAAAGCUAGGGGAGCGAAUGGG